CAGUCGCCGCGGGAAUACGAAGGGGGCUAGCGUUGUUCGGAAUUACUGGGCGUAAAGCGCACGCAGGCGGCUCGAUAAAUUAGAGGUGAAAGCCUUGGGCUUAACCUGAGAAUUGCUUUUAAGACUGUCGAGCUAGAAUCCAGAAGAGGGUAGUGGAAUUCCGAGUGUAGAGGUGAAAUUCGUAGAUAUUCGGAAGAACACCAGUGGCGAAGGCGACUACCUGGUCUGGCAUUGACGCUCAUGUGCGAAAGCGUGGGGAGCAAACAGGAUUAGAUACCCCAGUAGUCCCUGUCUCUUAUAC
This 301-nucleotide ribosomal RNA is filed under the name uncultured bacterium. RNAcentral's name for it is "partial 16S ribosomal RNA". It matches the Rfam family "Bacterial small subunit ribosomal RNA", at positions 509 to 807 of the family's 1533-position model. The record is from RNAcentral.